This 952-nucleotide ribosomal RNA is filed under the name Lepidodermella squamata. RNAcentral describes it as "16S ribosomal RNA". It matches the Rfam family "Bacterial large subunit ribosomal RNA", at positions 714 to 2700 of the family's 2925-position model. Lineage: Eukaryota; Metazoa; Gastrotricha; Chaetonotida; Chaetonotidae. The record is from RNAcentral.
CCCGAAGUCUGUUGAUCUAGUUUGGUAUGUUUGAUGCUGUUUCAUUAACAUCUUUUUAUUCUAAACUUGAGGAGAAAUUUUAUCCGUAACAGAUGAUAUCUGGUUCCGUCAGUAUAAUUAAGCACAGCGACUGCUGGUAAUGGUCGGCACCCGGAUAAACUGGUGCCGAUUUGAAUUAUUUUAAGUAAGUUUAUUAAAGUAUGGCUCUUAAGCAGCCUAAUUUAGUUUUUCGUUAUAGAUAACAUAUUAAAAUUUAACUUAGAAUAUUUUUAACUGCGGUUUUAACCCUAAAAUGGUUAAAUAUUAAUCGAUGAAUUAGUACUAUAUGGCAGCUAAAAAAGCUGUUUUAAGUAAUUGUCGCUUAUGAACUCGGCAACACAACUCUCAACUGUUUAACAAAAACAUAGCUAUGUGAUAUAUGCAUAGUGUAGCCUGCCCAAUGGAUAUUCUGAAUGGCUGCAGUAUUUUGACUGUACUAAGGUAGCAUAAUAACUAGUCUCUUAAUUAGGGAAUGGAAUGAAAGGUUGUUUGGGGGUUGGCUGUAUCAGCGGCAGUUUGUGGAAAUUUAAUUGCUGGUGAAGAUGCCAGCGCGUUACUGCGUGACAAGAAGACCCUGUCAAGUUUGAUCUGGUUUAACAGCAAGUUAAUGCUGUAAACAAGAUUUGGUUGGGGUAACCGUGCCGGUUCGAUCGGCACAUCGACUAAGAAUUUUAAGAAUUUAAAAUUACUGCGGGGUUAACAGCGUUAUAGUUGUUUUUAGUUCUUAUUUAAACAACUGAUUGCGACCUCGAUGUUGAAUUGGGGGUGUGGCCAUGGCGCAAGAGUCAGGUUCAUUAGUCUGUUCGACUAUUAAAACCCCACAUGAUUUGAGUUCAGACCGCCGUGAGGCAGGUCGGCUUCUAUCUGCAGAAACUAUAGUUUUUACCUGGGUAGUACGAAAGGACCCUCAGGU